CCUACGGGCGGCUGCAGUGGGGAAUAUUGGACAAUGGGGGGAACCCUGAUCCAGCCAUGCCGCGUGUGUGAAGAAGGCCCUCGGGUUGUAAAGCACUUUCAGUGAGGAAGAACGCCUGGUGGUUAAUACCCAUCAGGAAAGACAUCACUCACAGAAGAAGCACCGGCUAACUCCGUGCCAGCAGCCGCGGUAAUACGGAGGGUGCGAGCGUUAAUCGGAAUUACUGGGCGUAAAGCGCGCGUAGGUGGCUUGAUAAGCCGGUUGUGAAAGCCCCGGGCUCAACCUGGGAACGGCAUCCGGAACUGGCAAGCUAGAGUGCAGGAGAGGAAGGUAGAAUUCCCGGUGUAGCGGUGAAAUGCGUAGAGAUCGGGAGGAAUACCAGUGGCGAAGGCGGCCUUCUGGACUGACACUGACACUGAGGUGCGAAAGCGUGGGUAGCAAACAGGAUUAGAUACCCUUGUAGUC
This 465-nucleotide ribosomal RNA is filed under the name Vreelandella stevensii. RNAcentral's name for it is "partial 16S ribosomal RNA". It matches the Rfam family "Bacterial small subunit ribosomal RNA", at positions 338 to 795 of the family's 1533-position model. The record is from RNAcentral. Lineage: Bacteria; Pseudomonadati; Pseudomonadota; Gammaproteobacteria; Oceanospirillales; Halomonadaceae.